RNAcentral lists this non-coding RNA (24 nucleotides) under Arabidopsis thaliana (thale cress). The record is from RNAcentral. Lineage: Eukaryota; Viridiplantae; Streptophyta; Magnoliopsida; Brassicales; Brassicaceae.
UAAAACGAUUUGUAAACCAUGUUA